GAUCAGAAAAUUGAUUUUGAUUUAUUUGUCAAAGACAAGCCUACCCCAGAAUAAAAUGUUUGCUUACAGGUAAUGGAAGUGGAUAAGGAGGUUCUGGAAGUAAGAACCAAAACGUGAUUUCGCCCAUUGAGGUAAAAGCGUCAAGCUAAUGACGUUAAAGAAGUGCUUCCUGGGAGGCAACCUAGUUCUAAUUUUUGUUAUUCUAUUCUUGUUUAUGCAUUG
RNAcentral lists this long non-coding RNA (222 nucleotides) under Glycine max (soybean). RNAcentral describes it as "long non-coding RNA (GMAX_LNC000837)". The record is from RNAcentral. Lineage: Eukaryota; Viridiplantae; Streptophyta; Magnoliopsida; Fabales; Fabaceae.